UGCACCCAUCUAAGCCUAUACGCCUCAAUGCAAACCCACCAACCCAACUCCAAACCAAACCAUUUGCAAAAAAAAGUAAAUGCGAUUGAACCUACUCCGUAGCGCAAUAGAAUACAGUACCGCAAGGGAACGAUGAAAUAACAAUGAAAUACCCACGCACAACACAGCAGUGACUACCACACGUACCUUUUGCAUCAUGGCUUAGCAAGUCUUCGCAUGUAAAAUGAAUUACAACAUGCCGACCCGAAAAGGCACGAGCUAUUUUAAAGCAGCAUUAUUGUGCGAACUCGUCUCUGUAGCAAAAGAGUGAGAUGACUUUAAAAUAGAGGUGACAAGCCUACCGCGCCUCUAGAUAGCUGGUUGCUUGGAAAAUGAAUUUUAGUUCAACUCUAAAUUACCCUACCUGGCCCACCUAUAGCCGCCCCUAAAAAUUUAGAGUUUAUUCAUUGGGGGGACAGCUCCAAUGAAACAGGAUACAACCUUCACUGAGAGAUCCAAUACUCACACCCAACCUAGCGUAAGCCUUAAAGCCGCUAUCAAAGACCACCGCGUCAAAGCGAAAGUCACAACAAAUAACAACCAUCAACCAAAUCUCCAGACACACAAACCAAGCUAUUCCAUGCUCACAUGGAAGAACCACUGCUAAGACUAGUAAAAUGGCUUCGCCUCUAUGCGCAACUGUAAACUCAAACAAACAAGUACUUAAUAGACCACAAACGGCAAAAUCUACACAACCACAAGCCAAACUAUUAACCUAACUAUUACCCCGACACAGGCGCGCACAAAAGAAAGACAAAACGCUAUGAAAGGAACUCGACAACCACUGAUCCCAACUGUUUACCAAAAACAUAGCCUUUAGCCAUACCAGUAUUAAAGGUUACGCCUGCCCAGUGAUAAUAUUUAAACGGCCGCGGUAUACUAACCGUGCAAAGGUAGCACAAUCACUUGUUCUUUAAAUAAGGACUAGUAUGAAUGGCGACAUGAGGAUCAACUUGUCUUUCACAGCCGGUCUAUGAAACUGAUCUUCCGGUACAAAAGCCGGAAUAAACUCACAAGACGAGAAGACCCUGUGGAGCUUUAAACUUUAUAUCACCUCAAAUGACUAUCCAGUUUUUAGUUGGGGCGACUUUGGAGCAAAACAAAACCUCCGAACACACAAAUCUAGGCCUACACGCCGUAAACCACACAACCCACGACCCAAUAAAAUUGACCAAUGAACCAAGUUACCCCAGGGAUAACAGCGCAAUCUUCUUUUAGAGUCCCUAUCGACAAGAAGGCUUACGACCUCGAUGUUGGAUCCGGAUACCCAAAUAGUGCAGCCGCUAUUAAAGGUUCGUUUGUUCAACGAUUAAUAAUCCCACGCGAUCUGAGUUCAGACCGGAGUAAUCCAGGUCGGUUUCUAUCUGUGCCUGUCACUCCCUUAGUACGAAAGGAUCAGGAAGCGGGGGCCCAUAAUCCCAUCACGCCCCAAGAAAGACAGCUGUCAACAACUCAAGCUGUUAAUACAACCAUAAAAUAGAAAACCACUACUCAUCAUUUUUCUUUUUUCCCCGUGGAAAACAAGCCGACACCCACACGGACACACGUUACCCUUUCACCAAGGGACACUGGAACCCGCACUUCCGCCACGCCUAUAAAAUAGACCAAAAACCAUAUUUCCAAUCACACAAACCCCCAAGAAAACACAAUUAAGCGUGGCAGAGCCAAGUAAAUAGUAAAUAGUAAAUAUUACCUCACUAACUAGACCUU
Molecule: ribosomal RNA, 1749 nt
Filed under: Amphisbaena schmidti
Lineage: Eukaryota; Metazoa; Chordata; Lepidosauria; Squamata; Amphisbaenidae
Description: large subunit ribosomal RNA
Rfam family: Bacterial large subunit ribosomal RNA (bases 1-1554)
Source: RNAcentral